Molecule: ribosomal RNA, 301 nt
Filed under: uncultured bacterium
Lineage: Bacteria
Description: partial 16S ribosomal RNA
Rfam family: Bacterial small subunit ribosomal RNA
Source: RNAcentral
CAGUCGCCGCGGGAAUACGGAGGGUGCAAGCGUUAAUCGGAAUUACUGGGCGUAAAGCGCACGCAGGCGGUCUUUCAAGUCGGAUGUGAAAUCCCCGGGCUCAACCUGGGAACUGCAUUCGAAACUGGCAGGCUAGAGUCUUGUAGAGGGGGGUAGAAUUCCAGGUGUAGCGGUGAAAUGCGUAGAGAUCUGGAGGAAUACCGGUGGCGAAGGCGGCCCCCUGGACAAAGACUGACGCUCAGGUGCGAAAGCGUGGGGAGCAAACAGGAUUAGAUACCCCUGUAGUCCCUGUCUCUUAUAC